UGGGGAAUAUUGCACAAUGGGCGAAAGCCUGAUGCAGCAACGCCGCGUGAGUGAUGAAGGCCUUCGGGUUGUAAAGCUCUGUCUUUUGGGACGAUAAUGACGGUACCAAAGGAGGAAGCCACGGCUAACUACGUGCCAGCAGCCGCGGUAAUACGUAGGUGGCAAGCGUUGUCCGGAUUUACUGGGCGUAAAGGAUGCGUAGGCGGAUUUUUAAGUGAGAUGUGAAAUACCCGGGCUUAACUUGGGUGCUGCAUUUCAAACUGGGAAUCUAGAGUGCGGGAGAGGAGAAUGGAAUUCCUAGUGUAGCGGUGAAAUGCGUAGAGAUUAGGAAGAACACCAGUGGCGAAGGCGAUUCUCUGGACCGUAACUGACGCUGAGGCAUGAAAGCGUGGGUAGCAAACAGGAUUAGAUACCCCUGGUAGUCCACGCCGUAAACGAUGAGUACUAGGUGUAGGAGGUAUCGACCCCUUCUGUGCCGCAGUUAACACAAUAAGUACUCCGCCUGGGAAGUACGAUCGCAGGAUUAAAACU
Molecule: ribosomal RNA, 531 nt
Filed under: uncultured bacterium
Lineage: Bacteria
Description: partial 16S ribosomal RNA
Rfam family: Bacterial small subunit ribosomal RNA
Source: RNAcentral